This is a long non-coding RNA of Eleginops maclovinus (Patagonian blennie), 459 nucleotides long. RefSeq lists it as uncharacterized. NCBI's taxonomy places the organism in Eukaryota, Metazoa, Chordata, Actinopteri, Perciformes, Eleginopidae. The record is from RefSeq and is a predicted model, not a curated record. The transcript is spliced from 3 exons.
UCCAGGUGGCACCGCCCGGCGGGGACUUCAGGUGACAGAAAUCGAGCGCCCCAUUCAUUAAGGCCCGCUUGUAAACAGACUGCACACGCAGGUAAAACUGUUUGGAAAAGAAAGUGUUGUCAAAAAAGUGUAUAAGUAACGGAUAGCUUUAUAAAGGACAAUAUCGUGAACAAGAACUUCUAAAAGUGAAGAAAUCGCAUCCUGCAUCGACGUUUACUACAGGACGAGGAGGAGGAGGGGCAGACCAGGGACAGGAGCGCUGUGCACGAUUGUCAUGGCAACAGCGGUGGGAAGACAAGAUGGAGGACUCAAAGCUGGCCUGGCCUCCUUUACAGGAGAAGCUGUUCAACGACCAUGGAGAAAUUAGAGAAACCAUUUCUUGGGAAAUCAAGAAACCAAAAUGUGGCUCCGUUCGAUUCUGAUGUUGUGUUCUGCCGUCGCAGUGAGCAUUAAGGUAAC